This is a long non-coding RNA of Dunckerocampus dactyliophorus (ringed pipefish), 5044 nucleotides long. RefSeq lists it as uncharacterized. The transcript has 6 exons. The record is from RefSeq and is a predicted model, not a curated record. Lineage: Eukaryota; Metazoa; Chordata; Actinopteri; Syngnathiformes; Syngnathidae.
GGUCAGUCUUGUAUUGGUAGUGUGUGUAUUUUCCUGGUGUCUGGUGGUGUUUAUUUGCACCAUCUAUUGGCCGGUGGUGAGUCUGAUUUCAGGUGAUAGCGCCUAUUUGCUGGUGACAGGUUGUUUCUACAGUAUCUGCUGGUGAUGAGUGCUGUCUAUUUCCUGGUGGCAGGUGGCAUUAUUUGCUGGUGAUGAGUGUUGUGUAUAUUCUAGUAAGAGCAACUAUUUUCUAGUAAUGUAUGGCGUCUAUUUGAUGGUGAUGGAUGGUGUCUAUUUCCUGGUCACAGGUGGCAUCUCUUGUCGGGUGGCUCUCGUGGUGAAUGGUGACAAUUGGCUGCUAUUGGUAGGUGUCUAUUUUCUGGUUAUGGGUUGCUUCUGUUUACUGGUGACAGGUUGUCUAUCUCUGCUGGUGAUGGGUGGUGUCUAUUUCUUGGCGAUAGCAACUAUUUGCUAGUAAUGGCUGGCGUUUGCUUGCUCGUAGAAAGUCUCUCUCUGCUGGUGAUGGAUGCUGACUAUUUCCUGAUGACAGGUGGCGUCUCUUGUCAUGGGUGGGGCCUGUUUGCUAAGAUUGGCGGUGAUGUAAAUUUUCUGGUGGCGGCAGUGUCUAUUUGCUGUUGAUGAAUGGUAACAAUAUACUGCUAUUGGUAGGUAUCUAUUUUCUGGUUCUGGAUGGUGUUUAUUUCCUGGUUUUGGGUGGUGUCUAUUUGAUGGGUGAUGUCUAUUUCCUUGUGAUAGCAAAUAUUUUCCAGUACUGGGUGGUGUCUAUUUGCUGGUAACUAGUGCCUCUCUGCUGGUGAUGGUUGUAGUCUCUUGUCAUGGAUGGUGCCUGUUUACUAAGGUCGAGUGAUGUAUAAUUUCCAUUGGUGGAUGGUGGUGAAUAUUUGCUGGUAACAGGUUGCCUAGCUCUGCUGGUAAUGGGUGGAUCUAUUUACUGGUGAUAGCAACUAUUUGCUAGUAAUGGGUGGUGUCUAUUUCUUGGUGACAGGUGUUAUUUAUUUACUGGUGAUGGGUCUGUGACUGGCAACUAUUCCAGGGUGUAACCUGCCUCUUGCCCAAAGUCAGCUGGGAUAGGCUCUAGCAUACCCGUGACUCCAGUGAGUACAAGAGGUAUAGAAAAUGGAUAGAUGGACGUUGUGUGUUUUCUGGUGGGUGGGUAAUGGGUGGCACCUAUUUGCUGACUGCUUGUGUCUUUUUCCUGGUGGCAGGUGAAUUUUAUUUCCUGGUGAAAUGUGGAAUCUAUUUGUUGGUGUAUUUGUUUGUGUAGGCGUUGUGUAUUUCCUGGUGAUAUAAACUAUUUUCUAGUAACUAUUUUCAAAUAAUGGGUAGCAGCUAUUUGCUGGUAAAAGGUUGUGUCUCUGCUGGUCAUGGGUGGUGUUUAUUUACUGGUGACAAGUUGCAUCUAUUUCCUGGUGGGUUUGAUUUCUGGUGAUAGCGCCUAUUUUCUGGUGACAGGCUGUGUCUACAUAUCUGCUGGUGAUGAGUGGUGUCUAUUUCCUGGCAACAGGUUGCACUUCUUGGUCAUGGGUGGCAUUUAUUCACUGAUGACAGGGUGGGUAUUUCCUGGUGGCAGGUAAGUCUAUUACCUAGUGACAGGUGGCAUCUAUUUGCUGCUAAUGUGUGUUGUGUAUUUUCAGUGAUAGCAGCUAUUUUAUAGUAAUGGAUAAUGUCUAUUUGCUGGUAACAACUGUCUCUUUGCUGGUGAUGGAUGGUGUCUAUGUCUUGGUGACAAGUGGUGUCUCUUGUCAUGGGUGACGGCUGUUUGCUAAGAUUCCGUGAUGUGUAUUUUCUGGUGACCGAUGGCGCAUAUUCUGGUGCUGGGUGGUGUCUAUUUCCUGAUGAUGGACAGUGUGUAUGUGCUGGGUGGUAUCUAUUCGCAGGCAAAGAAGUCUUUGAGUGGUGCAAAAAGAUGCCUGAUGACAGGAACGCUCCAGGACCGGCCAAGGAGUUUCUGCCGAGCACCUCGACCCAUGUUGGACACGUCUGUGUAGUGGACCGGGAAGCCGAAGAUCCUGCAAUAGUUUAUUUCAAAAAGAAUGUCAGAAAGUUUGACUGACGACCCAGGUGGUGGCUUCCUGAAGGUGUCAGUCCUUUACCUCUCCAGCUCCGUGCACCACAAGAUGUCCUCCUUGCCGUUCAUCAGGACAGGAAAGUGCUGAUCCUUUCCUUGUUUGAUGGAGUUGGAGCGUGUGGUGAUGGUGCGCACCUUUCCAAACUAGACAGCAGGAACGUUCAUUCAUACAAAAGUCGAAAAGAGUAAACAUCACUUUACUGCCGUUGUUGUUCUGACCUUUGCCACUCGGCCAUGUUCCAGACAGUCCUGCAGCUCCAGCUUGUCCAUCCCAGAAGCGCACAGAGGUCUGCCAAACGCACAUGUACAUGUACCAUUAUGUACUGUAUAAAUGUAUACAUUUUUGGAGCUGUUUGCCCACCUGUUCAUGCCCGGCAGGUUCCCCCAAAAGUAUCGAGCACGGUGGGCGGCAGAGACCUCAAUAGCGUCAAUCAUCACAGGGUUACACUGCGACACACACACACAGCCACCAUCUCACAUUUAGAUGUCCACUUGCGUAAACGUGUCUUUGCUCCACACGGUUUCAAGUUUCAAACACUGUCCGUGGCCUUACCUCCAGGAAUCGAGAAAUGUCCCUCUUGUCAUUGACACCCAUGGCGACCACAUUCUCGAACAUCCAGAAGAAAGGUCGGUUCUCUCCCUCUUUGGGCUUGGCCUCGCUCAGCAGACGGUAGAACUCAAAGAACAACCUCCCUGUACCUUCUGAACCAAUCAAGACCCAAAAGAAGCAAAGCACGUCACCAAGUACUCAACACCUACCAUGGCUACAGGACAAAAGAAGAAAAAGAAGAAAGUAGGACUUGCCAUAGAGGCCCUUCCUUGCUGGGUUGACAAUAGACAAGUCAUUGCAUGGACUUCCCCCGAUGACCAGAUCAAAUGGUCCCCAUUCUAGGAUCUGAUGAGGAAUAUCAUGUUAGGAUUAUUAGAUACUCACGUCUCUUAACCAAUGAAAGAAUCACAGAGAUGCCAACAUCUGACAAUCAAAACCAGGGAGGUUCCCCCUUUUUAAGAUGACGGGUGGCAUCUCUGGAAUCAUUGACAGGUUAGACUAGAACCCCAAGGAGACAACGUCACAAUACAUGUUGGAAUUCAUCUCCCCCGCCAAUGAGCCGCAACUCUCCGUUGCCAGCAGCGCCAUGCUUGACUCUAUCUUGUAUCACAGUAUCUUGCCACAAAACACCAGAAAAAGUCACUAGUUUUGUCACCAAGGUCUAGGAACACAGUGUGUUUGACGUCUCUGCCUGGACGACAAUGCAUGAUAUGCUGCAUGCUGAAAUGCCUCAUUAAAGUCAAGAAGAAAAUGACAGGUGGAGGUGAUCUAGCGCUGCUUCAAAAUGUUACAGUACGUGUUUGAAUUCAUUUUCAGCUCCCCAGUGCAGGCGGCACUUCCUGACUGAAGAGUCAAUCACUGUUUCUUGCCAAAAGACAAGAGGAAGAUAACAGGAGGUGAUCACGCUCUGCUUCAGAGUAGAUGUUGGAAUUUUAUCUAGCCACCUCAAUGAGUAAACCACAGCUCCCCAGUGCUGGCGGCACUCGUGCAGUCCCGGAUCAUGACGCUACCCCCAACAUGCUUGACUGUAAGCAAGACACAAGUAUCUUAUGUUGUGGCUGUGCGGAAAACCUCACUCCCUGACGAUGACAGCUCGGGCUUUUAGCUCGCCGGCUGGCGCUGCUCAACUCUCAUUUAGUGGGGCUCGAUGGACCCAGGGUUUGUGCUCUGGCGGGCGUAGCGCCAAAUUCCGCAGAGAUGGAGUCCUCACACACCUCGGAUGCCACGUACUGGUCCACCUUGAAGCCCAGAUCUCUCAGGACCAGGCGCUCGUCCUCACCUGUUGCGAUGCCGUCAAACAGGGAGAGGACUCGGACUGGUCGCCUCUGCUCUGCAGGGACUGCUGGAACUCUUGCAGUUUGACGCUCCAGUCGUGCCGUCGUUUGAGGACGCCGUACUGAAGCAGCGGCUGACACAUGUAGCAUCGCCACGGGUCGAGGAAGCGUGCGUUGUUCGAUGCCCCUGGAUCCACCAGGAUGUCCAAACAGUCCACGCAGAAACAUCUGGAGAGGGGGGUGGACACAAUAUGGUUUAGCCACAAUUCUUCAUUUUUGCCUGUGUGUGCGUGUGUGUGUGUGUGUGUGUGUGUGUGUGUGUGUGUGUGUGUGUGUGUGUGUGUCCGACCUGCAGCAGUUGGCGUUGCCGCACAGCAGAACCUCUCGCCCCCCGCAGCAGACGGUGCAGUAGGACUGGUAGCCGUCAUCGUCGUACAUGUAGGAUGUCUCCAGUAGAUCCCUGCAAAUGGUAUACGAGCGUGAAUACUGGACGUACCCAGAAAAAGCCCUAAAAGUGCCUAUUUUUUAUACUCUAAACCAGUGGUGGGCAAACUUUUUUACCCGCAGGCCACACUGGGUUAAAACAUUUGCCCAAGGGGCUGUCUACAUACGGUUGGUCAUCAAACAGGAUGACAUACUUGCUCAGGGUGCAACAAAACGAAAACACAUCACAUAAAUCAACGACUACGACUACUGAGCACAUGAAUAGAAAACGAGUGUGGAAGCCGACCAAAUUCGAAACGAAGGGGAAGGUGGAGCUACAUCACCCGCUGAGAAGACGGAAGCACGGAGACCGAAAGAAAAACAUAAAUCAGAUGCUGAGCAAACUAAAGUCAGCCCUCUGCUACACCACACAGCACUCCAGUACCAUUCAAAAGCUAUAAUCUCUGUAUGGAAAAGGCAAAUACAACAAAAUGCAGUUCUGGACUUUCUGACAAAACAAUCUGAGGGAGAACACCAACGACAGGAGGAGAACGAGGCCAAAACAGGGAGGUUUUUAAACUUUGAAAUGAUGCUUGAUUAGGUUUAUACAUUUGUUGAUAAAGUUUGUUGUGUUGUUAUUUGUAUUUCAUAUGUAUAUUUGAUACGUUUUCUAAUUUUAUAAAUGUUACAGUGCUGGUUUUGAGCUGUUAUUUAUUAGAGUUGUUUGUU